CUGGAAGUUGUAGCUGAACUUCAGUAAACUC
This 31-nucleotide non-coding RNA is filed under the name Homo sapiens (human). The record is from RNAcentral. Lineage: Eukaryota; Metazoa; Chordata; Mammalia; Primates; Hominidae.